AUUGAACGCUGGCGGCAUGCUUUACACAUGCAAGUCGAACAGCAGCGCGGAGAAGCUUGCUUCUCUGUCGGCGAGUGGCGCACGGGUGAGUAUAGCAUCGGAACGUGCCAAGUAGUGGGGGAUAACCAAACGAAAGUUUGGCUAAUACCGCGUAAGCUCUAAGGAGGAAAGUAGGGGACCUAAAUAAGGCCUUACGCUAUUUGAUCGGCCGAUGUCGGAUUAGCUAGUUGGUGGGGUAAUGGCUCACCAAGGCAAUGAUCCGUAGCGGGUCUGAGAGGACGAUCCGCCACACUGGGACUGAGACACGGCCCAGACUCCUACGGGAGGCAGCAGUGGGGAAUUUUGGACAAUGGGGGAAACCCUGAUCCAGCCAUGCCGCGUGUAUGAAGAAGGCCUUAGGGUUGUAAAGUACUUUUGUUAGGGAAGAAAAGCUAGUUUUUAAUAAAAAUUAGUGAUGACGGUACCUAAAGAAUAAGCACCGGCUAACUACGUG
RNAcentral lists this ribosomal RNA (493 nucleotides) under uncultured bacterium. RNAcentral's name for it is "partial 16S ribosomal RNA". It matches the Rfam family "Bacterial small subunit ribosomal RNA", at positions 30 to 507 of the family's 1533-position model. The record is from RNAcentral.